UCAGCCCUAGGAGGGUGGGGGGGGGCUCAGCAAGAGUUGAGUCUCAAGACUGAGAUGGCCGGCAGGAUGUGUAGAGCGGUGAAGCCUAAGAUGGAGGAGAUGUUGCCCCACCUGACUCAGAGUAAAGGUUCCAAAUUCCAAGGGUAGAAGAGCUGUCGUCCUUUCUUGGCACUGAAGCUGACUCUCUGGAACAGAUCCUGUGCUCUCUCAUCUGCACCACUCAGCUCAGCCUCCCUGAGCAGGGAAGGGAUGAAGAAGACCAGAACACUGAGAGGCCUCGCAAUCAGACAAAAGAUCCUCAAAGGAGCAGGAAGAUGCUAGGGGAUGACCAAAGGAGAGGAGACAGAACCCUGAAGCAUCCUACCCAAGAGCUACAAGAGAACCUUGGGAAGAAAGUGAGAUUUGCUCCUCAGCAUCCCUGAAUGUCCUGGGAAGACAGGCAGGCAGACAAUGGAAGAUUUUCCAAUCAUCAGAACCCCCAGUAGGACCUGGAGCAUAACCUCUCUCUCAGAGGUCCAGGAGAAGGGAUCCCCCAUAAAGAUGGGAGGGUGAGACAAAUUUCAGAGUCCUUUCAAUGUUCUAAGGCUGUCAUGAUCAAUUUUUGGGUUUCUGGUAAGUUUUGCAUGAAUAUAACGUAGCCUCCUGGAUUCCUCUGUAUACUGUGUUCACGUGACCUGUGUGUCUCUUCACACAGAACUCAAAGGAAACCCACAUCUAGAGAAAAACAAGUUUCAA
Long non-coding RNA from Peromyscus eremicus (cactus mouse), 735 nucleotides. RefSeq lists it as uncharacterized. The transcript has 3 exons. The record is from RefSeq and is a predicted model, not a curated record. Lineage: Eukaryota; Metazoa; Chordata; Mammalia; Rodentia; Cricetidae.